This 396-nucleotide ribosomal RNA is filed under the name Triticum aestivum (bread wheat). RNAcentral's name for it is "partial small subunit ribosomal RNA". The record is from RNAcentral. Lineage: Eukaryota; Viridiplantae; Streptophyta; Magnoliopsida; Poales; Poaceae.
AUGGGCCUGGACCUGGAGUUCCGUUUCCUCCAUGGUGUCGGCUUCCAGAUCCGCGCCCCCAUGGGUUGGACCUGGUGCUCCAUCUCCAUGGCGUCGUCUGCUUCCGCUCGGCCGUCUGCGUCCUUCUACUGCUCGUCGAGCGCGAGCGCCGACGCGGCGGGGCGGGGCUUGCUCGGCCCGUUCGGGCUAGUCAUGCUGGUCGACGAUGGCCUGUCGGAGCAGACCGCUGUCUACUUCUACCUGGUCAAGGGUGCGGACGGGAAGCUCAGCACUCACUUCUGCCAAGACGCCUUCAUGUCAUUGAAGGCGAACAUUCUCGUCAAGGCCGUUUACGGCAGCUUCGUCCCUGUACUUGAUGGAGAAAAUCUGCACGCCCCGAUGCUCCCCUCGGUCUAG